GAGUGAGUGGCGAACUGGUGAGUAACACGUGGGAAACCUGCCCAGAAGCGGGGGAUAACACCUGGAAACAGAUGCUAAUACCGCAUAACAACUUGGACCGCAUGGUCCGAGUUUGAAAGAUGGCUUCGGCUAUCACUUUUGGAUGGUCCCGCGGCGUAUUAGCUAGAUGGUGRGGUAACGGCUCACCAUGGCAAUGAUACGUAGCCGACCUGAGAGGGUAAUCGGCCACAUUGGGACUGAGACACGGCCCAAACUCCUACGGGAGGCAGCAGUAGGGAAUCUUCCACAAUGGACGAAAGUCUGAUGGAGCAACGCCGCGUGAGUGAAGAAGGGUUUCGGCUCGUAAAACUCUGUUGUUAAAGAAGAACAUAUCUGAGAGUAACUGUUCAGGUAUUGACGGUAUUUAACCAGAAAGCCACGGCUAACUACGUGCCAGCAGCCGCGGUAAUACGUAGGUGGCAARCGUUGUCCGGAUUUAUUGGGCGUAAAGCGAGCGCAGGCGGUUUUUUAAGUCUGAUGUGAAAGCCUUCGGCUCAACCGAAGAAGUGCAUCGGAAACUGGGAAACUUGAGUGCAGAAGAGGACAGUGGAACUCCAUGUGUAGCGGUGAAAUGCGUAGAUAUAUGGAAGAACACCAGUGGCRAAGGCGGCUGUCUGGUCUGUAACUGACGCUGAGGCUCGAAAGUAUGGGUAGCAAACAGGAUUAGAUACCCUGGUAGUCCAUACCGUAAACGAUGAAUGCUAAGUGUUGGAGGGUUUCCGCCCUUCAGUGCUGCAGCUAACGCAUUAAGCAUUCCGCCUGGGGAGUACGGCCGCAAGGCUGAAACUCAAAGGAAUUGACGGGGGCCCGCACAAGCGGUGGAGCAUGUGGUUUAAUUCGAAGCUACGCGAAGAACCUUACCAGGUCUUGACAUACUAUGCAAAUCUAAGAGAUUAGACGUUCCCUUCGGGGACAUGGAUACAGGUGGUGCAUGGUUGUCGUCAGCUCGUGUCGUGAGAUGUUGGG
RNAcentral lists this ribosomal RNA (1005 nucleotides) under Lactiplantibacillus plantarum. RNAcentral describes it as "bacterial SSU rRNA". Lineage: Bacteria; Bacillati; Bacillota; Bacilli; Lactobacillales; Lactobacillaceae. The record is from RNAcentral.